GAUGAACGCUGGCGGCGUGCCUAAUACAUGCAAGUCGAGCGAACAGACGAGGAGCUUGCUCCUCUGACGUUAGCGGCGGACGGGUGAGUAACACGUGGAUAACCUACCUAUAAGACUGGGAUAACUUCGGGAAACCGGAGCUAAUACCGGAUAAUAUAUUGAACCGCAUGGUUCAAUAGUGAAAGACGGUUUUGCUGUCACUAAUAGAUGGAUCCGCGCCGCAUUAGCUAGUUGGUAAGGUAACGGCCUACCAAGGCAACGAUGCGUAGCCGACCUGAGAGGGUGAUCGGCCACACUGGAACUGAGACACGGUCCAGACUCCUACGGGAGGCAGCAGUAGGGAAUCUUCCGCAAUGGGCGAAAGCCUGACGGAGCAACGCCGCGUGAGUGAUGAAGGUCUUCGGAUCGUAAAACUCUGUUAUUAGGGAAGAACAAAUGUGUAAGUAACUAUGCACGUCUUGACGGUACCUAAUCAGAAAGCCACGGCUAACUACGUG
RNAcentral lists this ribosomal RNA (497 nucleotides) under uncultured bacterium. Its description in RNAcentral is "partial 16S ribosomal RNA". It matches the Rfam family "Bacterial small subunit ribosomal RNA", at positions 28 to 507 of the family's 1533-position model. The record is from RNAcentral.